Molecule: ribosomal RNA, 464 nt
Filed under: uncultured bacterium
Lineage: Bacteria
Description: partial 16S ribosomal RNA
Rfam family: Bacterial small subunit ribosomal RNA
Source: RNAcentral
CCUACGGGUGGCAGCAGUGAGGAAUAUUGGUCAAUGGACGAGAGUCUGAUGGAGCAACGCCGCGUGGGUGAAGAAGGUCUUCGGAUCGUAAAACCCUGUUGUUAGAGAAGAAAGUGCGUGAGAGUAACUGUUCACGUUUCGACGGUAUCUAACCAGAAAGCCACGGCUAACUACGUGCCAGCAGCCGCGGUAAUACGUAGGAUGCGAGCGUUAUCCGGAUUUAUUGGGUUUAAAGGGUGCGCAGGCGGAGGUGCAAGUCAGCGGUAAAAUUGCGGGGCUCAACCCCGUACUGCCGUUGAAACUGCAUCCCUUGAGUGCGCGAGAAGUAUGCGGAAUGCGUGGUGUAGCGGUGAAAUGCAUAGAUAUCACGCAGAACUCCGAUUGCGAAGGCAGCAUACCGGCGCGCAACUGACGCUCAUGCACGAAAGCGUGGGUAUCGAACAGGAUUAGAUACCCUUGUAGUC